GACGAACGCUGGCGGCGUGCUUAACACAUGCAAGUCGAACGGAAAGGCCCUGCUUUUGUGGGGUGCUCGAGUGGCGAACGGGUGAGUAACACGUGAGUAACCUGCCCUUGACUUUGGGAUAACUUCAGGAAACUGGGGCUAAUACCGGAUAGGAGCUCCUGCUGCAUGGUGGGGGUUGGAAAGUUUCGGCGGUUGGGGAUGGACUCGCGGCUUAUCAGCUUGUUGGUGGGGUAGUGGCUUACCAAGGCUUUGACGGGUAGCCGGCCUGAGAGGGUGACCGGCCACAUUGGGACUGAGAUACGGCCCAGACUCCUACGGGAGGCAGCAGUGGGGAAUAUUGCACAAUGGGCGGAAGCCUGAUGCAGCAACGCCGCGUGCGGGAUGACGGCCUUCGGGUGGUAAACCGCCUUCGCCUGUGACGAAGCGUGAGUGACGGUAAUGGGGAAAGAAGCACCGGCUAACUACGU
RNAcentral lists this ribosomal RNA (467 nucleotides) under uncultured bacterium. RNAcentral describes it as "partial 16S ribosomal RNA". It matches the Rfam family "Bacterial small subunit ribosomal RNA", at positions 28 to 506 of the family's 1533-position model. The record is from RNAcentral.